RNAcentral lists this ribosomal RNA (1462 nucleotides) under metagenome. RNAcentral describes it as "bacterial LSU rRNA". It matches the Rfam family "Bacterial large subunit ribosomal RNA", at positions 758 to 2125 of the family's 2925-position model. The record is from RNAcentral.
UUGACUCUGUGGAGGCGCGAACCGACUUCAGUUGAAAAUGGAGCGGAUGACCUGUGGAUAGGGGUGAAAGGCCAAUCAAACUCGGUGAUAGCUGGUUCUCCGCGAAAUGCAUUUAGGUGCAGCGUCGUGCGUUCAACGAUGGGGGUAGAGCACUGAAUGGGCUAGGGGUCCUACAAGACUACCGACCCCAAUCAAACUCCGAAUACCAUCGUUCCAGAGCACGGCAGUGAGACCUCGGGGGAUGAGCUUCGAGGUCGAGAGGGAAACAGCCCAGACCGCCGGCUAAGGUCCCAAAAUCUGAACUAAGUGGUAAACGAUGUGAGAUUGCGAAGACAGCCAGGAGGUUGGCUUGAAAGCAGCCAUCCUUGAAAGAGUGCGUAACAGCUCACUGGUCGAGUGAUCUUGCGCGGACAAUGUAACGGGGCUCAAGUUCAGUACCGAAGCCGCGGAUGCGACUCUUUGAGUCGUGUGGUAGCGGAGCGUCGAGCGUGCAGCGAAGCGGCGGGACAACCCAGCCGUGGAGCGCGUUCGAGUGCGAAUGUUGGCAUGAGUAGCGAAUGAGGGGUGAGAACCCCCUCCGCCGUAUGUCCAAGGGUUCCUGGGCGAGGCCAAUCCUCCCAGGGUGAGUCGGGAGCUAAGGCGAGGCCGAGAGGCGUAGUCGAUGCACAACUGGUUGAUAUUCCAGUACCACCAUGUUCGCGUCCGUCCCAAUACUCUGUUGCUAAGGGGCUGUGUUGACUUCGGUCAACGCGAACCGACCCACAUUGUUGCGGGAAGCUGUAGGGGGACGCAGGAAGGUAGAUGAACCCGGUGAAUGGUAGAACCGGGGUAAGCGUGUAGGAGGAGGACCAGGUAAAUCCGGGCCUCAUAAACUCUGAGACGUGAUACCGAGCCGCUUCAGGCGAAGUCAUUGAUCCUAUGCUGCCUAGAAAAGCCCAGCAGCGAGUUGACAUGGUGCUCGUACCCCAAACCAACACAGGUGGACAGGUAGAGCAUACCAAGGCGAGUGGGAUAACUAUGGUUAAGGAACUCGGCAAAUUGCCUCCGUAACUUCGGGAGAAGGAGGACCCCAGUAGCGUGAUGAGACUUGCUCUCUCAGCGUGAAGGGGUGGCACAAAAUUGAGGGAAGCGACUGUUUACCAAAAACACAGCAGCGUGCUAAGCCGUAAGGCGCUGUAUACGCUGUGACUCCUGCCCGGUGCUGGAAGGUUACGGGGAUGGGUUAGUCCUUCGGGACGAAGCUCUGAACCUAAGCCCCAGUAAACGGCGGCCGUAACUGUAACGGUCCUAAGGUAGCGAAAUUCCUUGUCGGGUAAGUUCCGACCUGCACGAAUGGAGUAACGACUUCCCUACUGUCUCAACCAUAGACCCAGCGAAAUUGAAGUACGAGUAAAGAUGCUCGUUAGCUGCAGAAGGACGGAAAGACCCCGUGGACCUUUACUAUAACUUGAUGUUGUGUUUU